RNAcentral lists this ribosomal RNA (279 nucleotides) under uncultured bacterium. RNAcentral describes it as "partial 16S ribosomal RNA". It matches the Rfam family "Bacterial small subunit ribosomal RNA", at positions 506 to 784 of the family's 1533-position model. The record is from RNAcentral.
UGCCAGCCGCCGCGGUAAUACGGAGGGGGCUAGCGUUGUUCGGAAUUACUGGGCGUAAAGCGCGCGUAGGCGGUUUAUCAAGUCAGGGGUGAAAUCCCGGAGCUCAACUCCGGAACUGCCCUUGAGACUGAUAGACUAGAGUUCGAGAGAGGCAAGUGGAAUACCUAGUGUAGAGGUGAAAUUCGUAGAUAUUAGGUGGAACACCAGUGGCGAAGGCGACUUGCUGGAUCGAUACUGACGCUGAGGUGCGAAAGCGUGGGGAGCAAACAGGAUUAGAUA